RNAcentral lists this ribosomal RNA (1455 nucleotides) under Salmonella enterica subsp. enterica serovar Typhi. RNAcentral describes it as "bacterial SSU rRNA". It matches the Rfam family "Bacterial small subunit ribosomal RNA". The record is from RNAcentral. Lineage: Bacteria; Pseudomonadati; Pseudomonadota; Gammaproteobacteria; Enterobacterales; Enterobacteriaceae.
UGCUUUGCUGACGAGUGGCGGACGGGUGAGUAAUGUCUGGGAAACUGCCUGAUGGAGGGGGAUAACUACUGGAAACGGUGGCUAAUACCGCAUAACGUCGCAAGACCAAAGAGGGGGACCUUCGGGCCUCUUGCCAUCAGAUGUGCCCAGAUGGGAUUAGCUUGUUGGUGAGGUAACGGCUCACCAAGGCGACGAUCCCUAGCUGGUCUGAGAGGAUGACCAGCCACACUGGAACUGAGACACGGUCCAGACUCCUACGGGAGGCAGCAGUGGGGAAUAUUGCACAAUGGGCGCAAGCCUGAUGCAGCCAUGCCGCGUGUAUGAAGAAGGCCUUCGGGUUGUAAAGUACUUUCAGCGGGGAGGAAGGUGUUGUGGUUAAUAACCGCAGCAAUUGACGUUACCCGCAGAAGAAGCACCGGCUAACUCCGUGCCAGCAGCCGCGGUAAUACGGAGGGUGCAAGCGUUAAUCGGAAUUACUGGGCGUAAAGCGCACGCAGGCGGUCUGUCAAGUCGGAUGUGAAAUCCCCGGGCUCAACCUGGGAACUGCAUUCGAAACUGGCAGGCUUGAGUCUUGUAGAGGGGGGUAGAAUUCCAGGUGUAGCGGUGAAAUGCGUAGAGAUCUGGAGGAAUACCGGUGGCGAAGGCGGCCCCCUGGACAAAGACUGACGCUCAGGUGCGAAAGCGUGGGGAGCAAACAGGAUUAGAUACCCUGGUAGUCCACGCCGUAAACGAUGUCUACUUGGAGGUUGUGCCCUUGAGGCGUGGCUUCCGGAGCUAACGCGUUAAGUAGACCGCCUGGGGAGUACGGCCGCAAGGUUAAAACUCAAAUGAAUUGACGGGGGCCCGCACAAGCGGUGGAGCAUGUGGUUUAAUUCGAUGCAACGCGAAGAACCUUACCUGGUCUUGACAUCCACAGAACUUUCCAGAGAUGGAUUGGUGCCUUCGGGAACUGUGAGACAGGUGCUGCAUGGCUGUCGUCAGCUCGUGUUGUGAAAUGUUGGGUUAAGUCCCGCAACGAGCGCAACCCUUAUCCUUUGUUGCCAGCGGUCCGGCCGGGAACUCAAAGGAGACUGCCAGUGAUAAACUGGAGGAAGGUGGGGAUGACGUCAAGUCAUCAUGGCCCUUACGACCAGGGCUACACACGUGCUACAAUGGCGCAUACAAAGAGAAGCGACCUCGCGAGAGCAAGCGGACCUCAUAAAGUGCGUCGUAGUCCGGAUUGGAGUCUGCAACUCGACUCCAUGAAGUCGGAAUCGCUAGUAAUCGUGGAUCAGAAUGCCACGGUGAAUACGUUCCCGGGCCUUGUACACACCGCCCGUCACACCAUGGGAGUGGGUUGCAAAAGAAGUAGGUAGCUUAACCUUCGGGGGGGCGCUUACCACUUUGUGAUUCAUGACUGGGGUGAAGUCGUAACAAGGUAACCGUAGGGGAACCUGCGGUUGGAUCACCUCCUUA